AAACUGCGAUAAGUAGCGUGAAUUGCAGACGCUUUGAACGUUAAACUUUCGAACGCACAUUGCGCCCUUUGGUAUUCCAAAGGGCAUGCCUGUUCGAGCGUCAUUUGUACCCUCAAGCUUUGCUUGGUGUUGGGCGUCUUGUCUCUAGCUUUGCUGGAGACUCGCCUUAAAGUAAUUGGCAGCCGGCCUACUGGUUUCGGAGCGCAGCACAAGUCGCACUCUCUAUCAGCAAAGGUCUAGCAUCCAUUAAGCCUUUUUUUCAACUUUUGACCUCGGAUCAGGUAGGGAUACCCGCUGAACUUAAGC
Molecule: unclassified non-coding RNA, 306 nt
Filed under: plant metagenome
Description: partial contains 5.8S ribosomal RNA, internal transcribed spacer 2, and large subunit ribosomal RNA
Rfam family: 5.8S ribosomal RNA (bases 1-103)
Source: RNAcentral